RNAcentral lists this unclassified non-coding RNA (226 nucleotides) under Glomeraceae sp. RNAcentral's name for it is "partial contains 5.8S ribosomal RNA and internal transcribed spacer 2". The stretch from base 1 to 71 matches the Rfam family "5.8S ribosomal RNA", at positions 84 to 154 of the family's 154-position model. The record is from RNAcentral. Lineage: Eukaryota; Fungi; Glomeromycota; Glomeromycetes; Glomerales; Glomeraceae.
GUGAAUCAUCGAAUUUUUGAACGCAAAUUGCACUCUCUGGUAUUCCGGAGAGUAUGCCUGUUUGAGGGUCAGUUUAAAUAAAAAUCGGUGUGGUUGCUGCCUUUCGAGGUGACGCACCGUAUUUGGGUCUUCUUUCCUUCGGUUAAGUGACCUAAAAUUGUGCUUGUUUUGUUUCGAUCGUAUUUAAAUGAAUUUUCGUUUGUUUGCGAUAUCCAAUAUUAGGUGU